UACGUAGGGUGCAAGCGUUGUCCGGAAUUAUUGGGCGUAAAGAGCUCGUAGGCGGUUUUGUCGCGUCUGCUGUGAAAACUGGAGGCUCAACCUCCAGCCUGCAGUGGGUACGGGCAAACUAGAGUGCGGUAGGGGAGAUUGGAAUUCCUGGUGUAGCGGUGGAAUGCGCAGAUAUCAGGAGGAACACCCGAUGGCGAAGGCAGAUCUCUGGGCCGUAACUGACGCUGAGGAGCGAAAGCGUGGGGAGCGAACAGG
Molecule: ribosomal RNA, 255 nt
Filed under: uncultured bacterium
Lineage: Bacteria
Description: partial 16S ribosomal RNA
Rfam family: Bacterial small subunit ribosomal RNA
Source: RNAcentral